GAGCUCAUUCUCCACACACACAAGCACACACGCUACCUAGCUCCGUUAUCCCAACGCCCCACUUGCUUCUGUGUAACUCUAGGCUGGGUGGACAUCGUCCAGCCGAUUUGUUAGUGAAAGACCCCGUAGGCAGCGCUAGCAUCUCCUCUUUUCAGGCGCCCCUUGGGCUCUGGUGUCUAUCACGCUUCUAGACAAGACCCGCUGCUUGCGAGCGAGGAGAGGGCGGCUUUUGGGCACGCAGCCUGGCGUACACGGAAGUCGACGUUUUUUUUUUUUGCCUGUCUUUUACGAGUGUACCGUGCUGGUAAACUCCGUGGUUUGUUUUUGCGAGAACAAACGCGCAAGAUCGUGAGGUUGCACCGGCCCGCACGCAUCUGCUGUUCGCUCGCACGUCUGAGCAAAGACGAUCAAACUAACACAACAACACACGAAAGCUCGAAGUGAAGCAAGCAACAGCUACAAAAAAAAGCACUCACGGCACCCACGAAAUAGACGUCGUAUCUGUGUUCGUUCCUGCCACGGACCCUCGCACGCGCAGCCACUCCUUUCAUGCGCAUACACGACGCGCAACGACACUCGGGGACGUAUACGCCUUUCUUUUCAGGCUUUUGUUUUUCGUCGUUUGUUGUAUGUUUGCCUUCAUUGAUCGCAUACAGGAACGAAGCGAACGCCCCCCACUUUCUCUUCGUUUGUACGUGUGCGUGUGUGCUUUUUGCUGGUGUUUUGUAACCCCGUUCUAUUUCUCCCUGCAUCUUUUUUUUUUUAGCUCGCUCUCUCUCUCUCUCUUUACACAUAUGCGGUCUGACGUGCAUGUGUUUUUGCGUUACUACUCCUUCCCUUGACGGUUCUUCGGCACGACGCCGACGCCUCCCGCCCUCCCCCGCUCGCACGAGCUCAUCGGCUCUUGUCGCACUUCUUCGCUUUGCUUCCACCGCCUCGAUUAGGAGCGUUUAUACAUCUGUUUACGCAUUCUUGUGUUUGCGGCGUACCUGAGGUCGUACACCGAGGCUCGAACACUCAUGCAAUCUCUUGCAGCCCGCAGGUCGCUGCUUGUGCACGACGUUCGCGCGUCGCAGCGGCAGUCUUUCGCCGGUCGUAUUAGCCACCGCGUCGCCUCCAGGCUCUCGCUCGCCGCUCCUCCUGUGGAGGCGCGCACCGGGACUGUGGCAGGCACCAUCAUCAACACCCUCUGCAGCGUGAUCGGCGCCGGGGUGCUGUCGCUGCCACUGGCGCUCUACUUCUCUUCCAUUAUAGUUGGGCUGGUUGUACUCCUCGUGUUCUCAUCCUUUGCGGCCUUCAGCGUGUACUGCCUUGUCGUGGGCUGCGACGCCACCGGGCGGUACUCUAUCACUGAGGUGAUUGCCUUUGCCAUCUACCCACCGCAGCUGUGGGAGGAGUACCUGCGCAAGCAAGGGGCCGCCAAGGAGACGGCGCGAGAAGAAGAGCAGCAUGUGGCACGGCAGCACCACAUGCCAGCCUCCGCUUCGUCUGGGGUGCGCAGCAGCAGCCUAAACGGAGAAAGCGCCGUGACGGCUCCGCAGCAAACUGAAGAGGCGCCGACAAGCAUGGAUGCGAAGCAGCACAGUGAUCCAGGGGAGGGCGUGGCGAGCGACGAGGAAGGAAGCGAGGAUACCCUUCCGUAUCGUCACCGCCAUGGCAGCCAUCGAUACGACCGCCGACGAGACGACGGCCACUCGUGCGCAGAAGCCUCACGAACGAAGGAAUGCACAGAGCGCCAUCCACACGCCUCUUUCCUCGCCCCUUCGGCGAGCACCAACGCUCGACUGCGCGACGCGUACGCGCGAGAAGAGUGGCGCCGGCGUCGUUGCCGCCGCGUCAUUACGGCACUUAUGGAGCUCAUCGUCUUCAGCAGCAACUAUGGCGCCCUCGUGAUUUACUCCAAGGUGAUCGCCGAUUCCAUGCCACCCGUUGUUUCGUACGCCACGCACACGGACGGCUUUCUAGUGUCCAAAUACUUCUGGCUCAUUACUGGCGGCGUCGUAUUUUUUGUGCUGAGCUGCUCACGUAACAUGGAGGAGCUGAAGUGGUCUUCGCUGCUCGGCUUCCUGACGAUUUUAUACAUUGUUGUCCUUAUUCUCUACCGCUACCACACACAGAAGCGGUACGACUAUCCGCACGUCGACCCGCGCAGCUAUGGCACGGUACACUGGCUCCGCCUCUCAGUAGGCGUGCUGCAGACAAUCUCGACGUUCGGGUUGGCCCUCAGCUACCACUACAACGUGCCGUACUUCUACAAGGAACUGCAGGACCGCCGACCGUACUGCAUGAUGCAGUCCCUCGCGGUGGCCUUUCCCAUCGUUGUCGUCUGUUAUGCCGUCACCGGUGUCGUCGGCUACUUGACCUUUGGCACCGAGGUGGCGGCACCGAGGGUGGGCGGCAACAUCGUCUCGAACUACCCAAAGAAUGACCUCUUAAUGAACAUCGGCCGUCUCGGCCUCUUUGUUCACUUUGCGUGCGUGUUCCCUGUCCUGUCAAUCUGCACGCGUCGCGGCCUGCAUCGGCUAACCAUGAUUGCCCUGACGUGGGCAGAUCAGUCAGCCCUGAUGAUGGAGGCUGCCAGGGCAUCGGGAGCGCAGCUGACGGAGGGUGUGCGCGGGGCAGAAGUGAGCACAGCAACCGUGUCCUCGCUGUCCCCAACUGCGGCCCCCACGAACGGCGCCGGCGUAGAGGACGGGGCUCACGUAUGUGGUCACAUCCCUGGCGAGACGUCUCCUCUGCUGCAGAGGCACGGCAGCCCCACGCCCGGCUACGAGGUGUUUGCGAACAGCUCGCCACCUCAUCUCGCCAGUCUUGGCCAGCAAUACAACGCCGAGUUACCGCUAUCUGGGCGUCGGAAAUCAGCUGCAGCUGACAGGCCGUGGGAUGCUUUGUGCGCAGACGCCAGUGGGGCAGAACAGGUGCGCGCCUCGCACCCCGGGUCGGAGCAGUUGGGCACUAUCGACGUGGAUCGCGACGUCGGCUCACCUGAUCAGACGACGAUGCUCGCCAUUGUGAUAGAGGCUGCCUUCCUAGUGAUCACAUCGGUGCUGAUUGCUGCGACCGUGUCGGGCAUCGACUUUGUGAUACACCUGAUCGGAACCCUGUUCAGUACUUUUAUUGUGAUGGUGGCGCCUGGGAUGGUGGGGUGGUGCGUGUUCUCACCAAGUGGCCCCUUUGGCUCUGCGUCGGCUGCCGUGGCCGCGUGCAGCGGCGGCGACGGAAAGUUCUCUGGCGCCCUUGUAAGCGAUUUGUUGUCGCGUUUCCGGCUGAUUCGAUUGAAGCAGCUCAUGUGCCUCCUGAACGUUGUGCUGGGGAUUUGCGUGACGUGCGUCGGCGUUGCGACACUCGUGUACGAGACAUUCUGGGGAAAACCGAUACCAGCGCUGUGAGGCUGAGCCGCUCGGUGGUGGGCACGGGAUGAGGCGUGUGUGUGGGUGGUGGUGCACAGCAAAAACGAAGGGCAAGCGCAGACACACGUGGGCAAAAACACAUACGACAGAGGCCCUUGCGCUCUGUUUGGGGGAGGCGGGGGCGCACGGGUAUCUCUACGCUGCUGCCUCCCUCACAGUGUGGCGGCUUGGCGGACGCGCCGCUCUCUGUUUUCGUUGCGUCCCCUUGCCUGCCGACCUCGGCAGAGUGCUAGGGCGCGUGCUCGUGUGCCUGUGUCUGCGCGCUGUCGGACGGCCCGUGCGUCCCUCUUUGUGUGCGCGCAAACUUACCUGCGGGCGUUUGUGUGUGCUCUCCUCCUCGCGGCGUGCUAGCGAGCUCUCUGUUUUCACCAUGACGUCGCCUGCUGUACUCCUUUUCCUUUAUCUGGAG
This 3819-nucleotide unclassified non-coding RNA is filed under the name Leishmania donovani. Lineage: Eukaryota; Euglenozoa; Kinetoplastea; Trypanosomatida; Trypanosomatidae. The record is from RNAcentral.